ACCGGAAUAGCUCCUGGAAACGGGUGGUAAUGCCGGAUGUUCCACAUGAGCGCAUGCGAGUGUGGGAAAGGCUUUUUGCGGCAUGGGAUGGGGUCGCGUCCUAUCAGCUUGUUGGUGGGGUAACGGCCUACCAAGGCGUUGACGGGUAGCCGGCCUGAGAGGGCGACCGGCCACAUUGGGACUGAGAUACGGCCCAGACUCCUACGGGAGGCAGCAGUGGGGAAUAUUGCACAAUGGGCGCAAGCCUGAUGCAGCGACGCCGCGUGCGGGAUGGAGGCCUUCGGGUUGUAAACCGCUUUUGUUCAAGGGCAAGGCACGGUUUCGGCCGUGUUGAGUGGAUUGUUCGAAUAAGCACCGGCUAACUACGUGCCAGCAGCCGCGGUAAUACGUAGGGUGCAAGCGUUAUCCGGAUUUAUUGGGCGUAAAGGGCUCGUAGGCGGUUCGUCGCGUCCGGUGUGAAAGUCCAUCGCUUAACGGUGGAUCCGCGCCGGGUACGGGCGGGCUUGAGUGCGGUAGGGGAGACUGGAAUUCCCGGUGUAACGGUGGAAUGUGUAGAUAUCGGGAAGAACACCAAUGGCGAAGGCAGG
RNAcentral lists this ribosomal RNA (587 nucleotides) under Bifidobacterium pseudolongum. RNAcentral describes it as "bacterial SSU rRNA". It matches the Rfam family "Bacterial small subunit ribosomal RNA", at positions 137 to 725 of the family's 1533-position model. Lineage: Bacteria; Bacillati; Actinomycetota; Actinomycetes; Bifidobacteriales; Bifidobacteriaceae. The record is from RNAcentral.